AAGUUUGUCACGACCCGAUUCCCGGAUCCAUUACCGGCACAUAAGCAAGGUUCCCCUCCAAGGUUCCAUACCUAUGCGAACCCAAACUUAUAUACAAACUUAUCUAUUAAAUAACUCAAUCAGAGUUCAACGAAGCAAUAACAACAAAACUAACUUUAUAAUAUAAUUCGAUUGUCUUAAUACAAGAGUUCAUAUAAAUUUAGAGUUUGGGAGCACUAACUAGACAUAAAGGGAAAUGUAUAAAUUACAACAAAAAGAACAAGUUCUGAAGGUCCAAUAAAAGUGACAUGCUAUCAAGCUAUAAGCCUGAAAAGGAUAAAUAAUGAGAGGGUGAGUUCAACAACUCAGUGAGUAGAUAAUGUUCAAUAUACACAACGAGAUAAUAUAAUAAUGAGAAUAUAUAUACAAUUAUGGCUCUAGGUUCUUAUAUGAAGGUUUCUCAAAUAGGCCAUAACAAGAAAAUCAGAAGGUAAAGCUCGUCAGAAAAUCAAAAUGCAAUGAGCAUGAGGCUCCGUACUGUGGGAUGAUCAGUCCACACAGGUUGGUGACUCCCCCGACCAACUAGGGUUCAGAUACGAUGUGCAUAAAGACUAACACUACCCUGUUAGCAUGGGUAUUCUGACUGGCAUACCAUAGGUUCAUAAUCAUAAUCAAACAGACAUAUUCAUAUCUCAAGGCUCAACUCAUGACAUCAAUCAAAUGAGGAGCUAUCAAUUCAAAAUAUAUACUGGUUCAUAUCAAGAAUUCAAAUUCAACAAUUAAUCAUGCUUUAUCAAAACAAGGAUAAUAAUCAACAUAUAUAUUAUCAAGAAGCAUGAUCCAAUUCAUAUUAACAAAUCAAAUAUUUAUAAUAUUUCUCAUGCAUAUGGAAAAUUAUCCACUCACCAAACUCGAAAGCAAACAGAAGUCAAAAGCAGAUACCAAAGGAAAUCCUAAUGGCGUCCCGCCGGUAGAAUAUCAGGAUUAUCUAAAUACAAAGGAGACAUAUUCAAGAAUGACUCAAAAGAACAUAUAACCUAUUUAAUACACUUAUCUAAAGGUAUAUUCCAUAACUCUAUAUGUUUUUGAACUAAAUUAGUUAUCUUCCUAAAAACCCAAAAUUAAACGGUUUUCCCGAAAUCUAAUCCAUAAUAAAACAAAUAAUAAAAUUGGUAAUAAUUCACUAAAUAACCCACAAUUAUUCAUCAAACCAAUCUGCAAAAGCUAAUAUUACAGCUAGGGACCAAUCUGUAAUUUAUCAUAUUUUUAAGGGUCAAAUUGUAACUUUGUCAAAUUGGAGGACCAAACUAAAAUUGUCAUAAAUCCAUGACUAUACUGAAAUUAUGACCAUAAUUAAUCAUCAUUUCUGUCCAGAAUAUCUCAUUAUGCUCUAGGGACCAUUCUGGAACUUUACCAAAUUUUUAGGGUCAAAUGGUAAUUUUUAUCAAAUUGAAGGACUAAAUUGAAAGUGUUAAAAUUUCAUAACUAUACAGGAUUCUGCCCAUAAUUCAUCUUUUAUUCUAUUCAGAAUCUCGGAAUAGGCUCCAGGGACCAAUCUGUAAAUUUUCCAAAGUUUGGGGACUAAACUAUAAUUUCCACAAAUUGAGGGACCAAUUUGAAUUUUUGUCAUCUUCAACCUUCAACCCAGAAUUUCAACAGAAAACCCACUGUUCUUUCCUGAUUUCUAACACAAAUUCACCAUUCAAACAAAAUCAUAACUCAAAAUCAUCAUAAUCUUCCAUAAUCAACUAAAUAAUCAAUUACCCACAACAAUCAACCCCAUAACAUUCAAUUUAAUUCAUCAAUUAAACUCAAAACAUAAAUUUUCAAAACCCUAACAUUCAUCAAAAUUGAAAUUAAAGUUCAAUUAACAUAUAUUUAUACAUUUAACAACCUAAAUCUUACCUUUAAACUUAUUUCUUCAAUACCUUUCUAUUUCCCUUCUAAUUUCCCUCUUUUCUCUUCUUCUUCUUCUUUCUCCCUUCUCUCUCACGGUUUGCU
Molecule: long non-coding RNA, 1980 nt
Filed under: Populus trichocarpa (black cottonwood)
Lineage: Eukaryota; Viridiplantae; Streptophyta; Magnoliopsida; Malpighiales; Salicaceae
Description: long non-coding RNA (PTRI_LNC000513)
Source: RNAcentral